RNAcentral lists this long non-coding RNA (2418 nucleotides) under Cucumis sativus (cucumber). RNAcentral describes it as "long non-coding RNA (CSAT_LNC001864)". The record is from RNAcentral. Lineage: Eukaryota; Viridiplantae; Streptophyta; Magnoliopsida; Cucurbitales; Cucurbitaceae.
UUGAUUUUUGCCUAAAAAAGUCACAAUGUUGAUUUUUACUUAAAAAGUCAAAGUGUUGAUUUUUUACUUAAAAAGUCCAAGUUUGACUUUGACUAGAAUGGUCAAAUGAACAAUUUGCCAUUUGACCAAAGUUAAUGGAAAAAUUCAACAUUUUGUUCUAUAGUCCAGCUAACUCUUAGUAGGCUAAGUGGAAGCUCAUAGUGAUGAUACCAUGCCCACUAAAAGAAAAUGCAAUGGUGACUAAAUUCACUAAGUGUAAGUGAAAAGUGAGGUGUUGAAAUUGAGUAAACUAAUUAGAUGCAAUAGUGGCAUGUAAUUAUAUUUUUUAAGGAAAACUUUUUCAAAUUAUGAUAAACUUUUGGUUAUUUUCAAAAAUUAAAAUUCCUUUUGAAAGAGUUUCUUUAAAAAAAAAUAACCCAAAAUUUUCAUCAUUUGAAAAUCAUUAUUGACCUUUCAAUUUCAUCUCUCUUGAUUUCAUUAUCUAUCAGAUCCCACAACCCAAUUCUAGGUCCAGAGGAUAAUAGGUAACUAUUAGUGGUGGUCUGUUCGAGUUCAAGCGAAUAUUCAAGCAUCAAUCGAAGCUUCUAAUGUAAGUUUCCUCAAAACUCUAAUUUGAAUUAAUUUAGAGUUUAUUUUUAUUCAUGUUAAUCUUAGAAAUUAGGGUAAUUUUCUAGAUCCAAUUUUCUCUAUGCAUGUGUCAAUAUUAUCGGUUUUGUCUGAACUCAAUUUUUUUUCGUUGGAAAUUUGAAGAUUGCUCUUAUAUGACGUUCAAGAUUAUGUUUUGAAGUCUUGGCUAUUGGUGGUCUGAAGUUUCAAGAAGAAAUAUUUGUUAAGGUUCAAGAUUUCUCAAGAUUAUCCUAUGUUGUGUAUGAAAAUAAAAAUUAAUCAUAUUGUGUCAAGAGGGGGAGGUUUGUUACAUUUUUUACAAAUAUGUAUUUAGUUUCUUUUUAUUUGAAGAAAGAGAAUAUAAAAAAGAACUUUCAUAUAUUCUCCUUCUAAAAGGAUAUUUUUAAAAAGUGAGAUUCCUUGAUUCGUGAAAAAGAUACUAUUUUGCUGGUUAUAUAUUUCUUUAAACAGUUGUUGGUAAAGCUCUCUUUAAGCAACCAAUAUCAUUUUCAUUGUCCACAUCUAUCUUUCUCCUUAUUAUAAACAAAGAGUUUCUUUUCUGGUAAGUUCAUUACCUUUUUAGACCAAUGUGAUGGAUGCGAUAAAGAGAUUUAAAGAAGAUUAAGUAAGACACAUGACCAUGGUCAAUUACUUCAUGGAGAGCCUGUUUAUAUCUUCAUUAGAUUCGAAUAAAAUUUAGGGGCUAAUUAUUUUUAGUUUGCAUAAAAUAGCUAAAAAGAAUACUAGUUCUAGGGAGAAUGACUUUUAAAUUGUUGAAAGUAUUAUACUCGUUUGAAUCUUAAUAAAAUCUACUAUCUAAGCUAAAAGCUUUUGAGUUUUACCGAGCUGGGCUAACAAAUUUUAUGUGUUAUUUUUCUUAUUGUUUCCUUAGCACUAUUCCACUAAUUUUUAACUAAAGUAACACUAAGGGAAAAAUCCUACUAUUUUACUUUUUCAUAUAUAGAGAGCAUCAACAUGAGGGGACUCAACCCUUAUCUGAACUUAUACUAAAUCCACUAGUCACUUGAAUCAUUCUAAUAUGAGAAGAAAGAGAUGAGUAUUGCUAGAUCGUAAAAUUAAACCUCUUAACUAACUUAUCCAGGGUCAUAAUAUGCCAAAUUUAUUAUGUUUCAUAGGCCACAUCUUCGCUAAACAAGAAAUUCACCAUUAAGGCACAUCGAAUCCAGGUGAGAUAUUAUUUUGGUGCCCAUUUGAUGGAACCAUAGUAACAACACCUAAGUUACAAGUUAAAGUCGCACGCACUACAUAAUUGAUCUCCAUUGAAGGUAUUUAUACAUAUAUUUUUCUGUAACUUUAAAUUUCAGUCUAGAUCCAUAAUUGAACUGGAAGGGGACAAGAAACUAAACAAUUUCAUAACUUAAACCACUCGAAGUUGGGAAAUGAAGGUGGCACAAAGGUUCAAGAACAAAAACUGAGGGCCUUGAAUCCUUUGCAGAUCAAGUAGAUACCUUUCUUCUUGUACUUUAUAUAGCUGUGUUAUAACAAAGAGACAAAAAUGCAAAGGUUAUCAUCAUAAUUGUUUCAAUAUCUUACCUUAAAAGCCAACCUUUCCUUCUAGGCUUCGCUACCUUCUUCAAGUCGAUCUAUCUAUAUAUAGUAUACAUGGAUGGCUAAACUUAACUAAGUUUAUCUAAAUUCAAAUUUUACACAUAAAUAUAUAUAUAUAUAUAUAUAUAUAAGAUGGUUUCUAUUAGUUAUUUAUGUUGACAAUAUUUAAUUUUAAUAAAAUGAUUUGUUUAUCAAUGUAACAAAUACCUAGCUAGCUAGACAUGCAACAGAAAAACCAAACUG